This 540-nucleotide ribosomal RNA is filed under the name uncultured bacterium. RNAcentral's name for it is "partial 16S ribosomal RNA". It matches the Rfam family "Bacterial small subunit ribosomal RNA", at positions 355 to 888 of the family's 1533-position model. The record is from RNAcentral.
UGGGGAAUUUUGGACAAUGGGCGAAAGCCUGAUCCAGCAAUGCCGCGUGUGUGAAGAAGGCCUUCGGGUUGUAAAGCACUUUUGUCCGGAAAGAAAUCCUUGGCUCUAAUACAGUCGGGGGAUGACGGUACCGGAAGAAUAAGCACCGGCUAACUACGUGCCAGCAGCCGCGGUAAUACGUAGGGUGCAAGCGUUAAUCGGAAUUACUGGGCGUAAAGCGUGCGCAGGCGGCUUGCUAAGACCGAUGUGAAAUCCCCGGGCUCAACCUGGGAACUGCAUUGGUGACUGGCAGGCUAGAGUAUGGCAGAGGGGGGUAGAAUUCCACGUGUAGCAGUGAAAUGCGUAGAGAUGUGGAGGAAUACCGAUGGCGAAGGCAGCCCCCUGGGCCAAUACUGACGCUCAUGCACGAAAAGCGUGGGGAGCAAACAGGAUUAGAUACCCUGGUAGUCCACGCCCUAAACGAUGUCAACUAGUUGUUGGGGAUUCAUUCCUUAGUAACGUAGCUAACGCGUGAAGUUGACCGCCUGGGGAGUACGGUCG